Long non-coding RNA from Panicum hallii, 1390 nucleotides. RefSeq lists it as uncharacterized. The record is from RefSeq and is a predicted model, not a curated record. The transcript has 6 exons. Lineage: Eukaryota; Viridiplantae; Streptophyta; Magnoliopsida; Poales; Poaceae.
CCCCCGCCUUCCACCGCAGCCCUCCGCCGUCCUCCACCGCAUGAAUCCUCCUUCCGUCCCUCGUUGUCGUCUUCAUCAAGUUCAGCGAGCUCCCCCGCCUCCCGCUACCACGGCCGGCGCUAAUUCGUCGGCUCCUACGCCCCCGCUGCCUCCACCGCCCACCGGGGGUCUCCCACCGCCCGGCUCCGGCGGCGUCCCCGCCGCCUCCGCUCCCCGCCGUCUCUCCCACCGCGGAUCCCUCUGGACCCGCAGGUCACAGGGAAUACAGAGAUGAGCGGUCAACAGUGGAACGGGCCCGGCGAACAUGGCUUCGUUGACCUUCUGCAAAUACUCGAUUCCAUUGGCGAUCUGGAUAGAUUCCUUACAAGAAAGGAAUCACUUUGCAUACUCAGGAAUCCGGUACUUUUUGCUCAAGAUGGUCAUGUCCUAGACGCCAUAGAUGAUCGAAACAGGCCAGACUACGAGUUUCUGGUAGUAGAUAGACCUACGCUUAUGCAGAUGAAUCUGAACGCUGGAAUAGUUGGCGAUGACAAGCUGCCUGGUUACUAACGUGACCUAAAUGCAUUGGCCCAACCGCCCAAGAGAGGCGAAUCUCUACUUUGAAGGUCAAUGAGAAUACCUUCCUCAGGCGACAUGAGAUUAGUGGGAAGAGACUAUUGAGGAGGAGAAUUUCUCUUGGUAAAGAUGAUGGUCCUUUUGAUGAUGAGGCACAAGUAACAAGUAUAAUACCAAAUGCUUCCAAGGAUGAAGAAAUCUAUGAAGGCUGCAAUUUUGGCAAGAAGGGCAGAACACGGCCACUUUUUAGAUGCCACUUGACGGAAAAUGAGGUUACUGAUGCUGCAGCUAAAUGAUUCUACUUUUCCUUUACAAGCAUGGGCUUCAAGCGAUUGCCACCUUGUAACAUGGUUACGUACGUCCAAUGAUAUACAGCUUAACUGAUAACGUCCUCUCUCACUCUGGGUGAAAAACAUAUCCAAUAUGUUCAUAGCUACUGCCUGUGGUAACUAACGAUGCUACUGCAUAUAGAAAUGUUGAUGGGUGAUACUGCUGGAUGCUGAUUGAAAUGUUGUGGUUUUGUGCCAAGAGAGGUUCUCAAGGAUGCUGGCCUUUUAUGCGAUUGGCUAUUCUUGAUGAACGUGAUGAAAUGCAUGUGAUGCAUGGAUAUAGUCAUACAGGGUUGGUGACUCAGGUGUAUUGCUUUUGUUCUGUUAAUGGUAUUGCAGGGGGAUUAGGAGAUAAGUUGUUUGUAUAUACGGUGUGAUUGUGCAUACUCAAGUCGCUUUUGGCGUGUGUUUCCAUCUGGUUUGGCCUUCUUUGGAAGCAGCUGGGAGUUGUAGUUGUGUUAAUGAGUUUUCUUUUUUCAAUCUGUUGAUAAUCUUAUUUUGGUGAA